AUAUAUAGCUUCUAGGGUUCCGGUUUAAUUCAGGGAAGUUAAACGACUGGUCCAAGAGAAGCAACCAGUUUCACAAAAACUGGCACACGGCGGGAAAAAAGCCCGGGAGGU
This 111-nucleotide small RNA is filed under the name Fischerella sp. RNAcentral describes it as "Guanidine-I sequence". It matches the Rfam family "Guanidine-I riboswitch aptamer". Rfam says of the family: This family represents a conserved RNA structure found upstream of the ykkC and yxkD genes in Bacillus subtilis and related genes in other bacteria. The function of this family is unclear although it has been suggested that it may function to switch on efflux pumps and detoxification systems in response to harmful environmental molecules. Nelson showed that this riboswitch senses and responds to guanidine and it was renamed Guanidine-I riboswitch. The record is from RNAcentral. RNAcentral also lists the same sequence under 1 other name. Lineage: Bacteria; Bacillati; Cyanobacteriota; Cyanophyceae; Nostocales; Hapalosiphonaceae.